UGAUAUGAACCGUUAUAACCGGCGAUUUCCGAAUGGGGAAACCCAGUGUGUUUCGACACACUAUCAUUAACUGAAUCCAUAGGUUAAUGAGGCGAACCGGGGGAACUGAAACAUCUAAGUACCCCGAGGAAAAGAAAUCAACCGAGAUUCCCCCAGUAGCGGCGAGCGAACGGGGAGCAGCCCAGAGCCUGAAUCAGUAUGUGUGUUAGUGGAAGCGUCUGGAAAGGCGCGCGAUACAGGGUGACAGCCCCGUACACAAAAAUGCACAUGCUGUGAGCUCGAUGAGUAGGGCGGGACACGUGGUAUCCUGUCUGAAUAUGGGGGGACCAUCCUCCAAGGCUAAAUACUCCUGACUGACCGAUAGUGAACCAGUACCGUGAGGGAAAGGCGAAAAGAACCCCGGCGAGGGGAGUGAAAAAGAACCUGAAACCGUGUACGUACAAGCAGUGGGAGCACGCUUAGGCGUGUGACUGCGUACCUUUUGUAUAAUGGGUCAGCGACUUAUAUUCUGUAGCAAGGUUAACCGAAUAGGGGAGCCGAAGGGAAACCGAGUCUUAACUGGGCGUUAAGUUGCAGGGUAUAGACCCGAAACCCGGUGAUCUAGCCAUGGGCAGGUUGAAGGUUGGGUAACACUAACUGGAGGACCGAACCGACUAAUGUUGAAAAAUUAGCGGAUGACUUGUGGCUGGGGGUGAAAGGCCAAUCAAACCGGGAGAUAGCUGGUUCUCCCCGAAAGCUAUUUAGGUAGCGCCUCGUGAAUUCAUCUCCGGGGGUAGAGCACUGUUUCGGCAAGGGGGUCAUCCCGACUUACCAACCCGAUGCAAACUGCGAAUACCGGAGAAUGUUAUCACGGGAGACACACGGCGGGUGCUAACGUCCGUCGUGAAGAGGGAAACAACCCAGACCGCCAGCUAAGGUCCCAAAGUCAUGGUUAAGUGGGAAACGAUGUGGGAAGGCCCAGACAGCCAGGAUGUUGGCUUAGAAGCAGCCAUCAUUUAAAGAAAGCGUAAUAGCUCACUGGUCGAGUCGGCCUGCGCGGAAGAUGUAACGGGGCUAAACCAUGCACCGAAGCUGCGGCAGCGACGCUGAUGCGUUGUUGGGUAGGGGAGCGUUCUGUAAGCCUG
Molecule: ribosomal RNA, 1124 nt
Filed under: Escherichia coli
Lineage: Bacteria; Pseudomonadati; Pseudomonadota; Gammaproteobacteria; Enterobacterales; Enterobacteriaceae
Description: partial 23S ribosomal RNA
Rfam family: Bacterial large subunit ribosomal RNA
Source: RNAcentral